RNAcentral lists this long non-coding RNA (670 nucleotides) under Homo sapiens (human). Its description in RNAcentral is "HSALNT0339185". Lineage: Eukaryota; Metazoa; Chordata; Mammalia; Primates; Hominidae. The record is from RNAcentral.
GGUUCCCGCCCGCGGCUCUCUCUCCACACAUCCCCGCAAGCUGAGGGAGCCAGCUCCGGCCUUGGCCAGCCCAGAAAAGGGCUCCCACAGUGCAGGGGCGGGCUGAAGGGCUCCUCAAGUGCCGCCAAAGUGGGAGCCCAGGCAGAGGAGGCGCCGAGAGCGAGCGAGGGCUGUGAGGACUGCCAGCACGCUGUCACCUCUCAGUCAGAGCCCACAGAUAAUAGCAACACACUAAGGUCCUAGGAGAUGAGCUCUCCAGGAUGGCGAAGCAUCUAAUGGAUGAUAAAGUAGGUACUUGAACAGGACUAAGUGCCUUGGUCUGGGACAAUGAAGCUCAGCAAUCACUGAAGGACAGGUCCUCAAGGUACAUCGUUGGGAUCAAGCAACUUUGAUCCCAAGGAGAAGAAUAAAAACAAGAGGGACGACUGGGCCAAGGUGCCAUGUGAAGUGACCUGUGAGGAUCAACCCAGUGAAGAUGCUUGAGGAAGACAUGCUAGAGCAAAAACUACAACUCUGGUCCUCUUGGAUAUUUUAGAUAAGGACUUUACCCACAUAAAGAAGGUGUUGCCCUGGGGACUGGCUGAGAGAAAUUACAGGUAAGUGAAAAGUAAAUGGAAGCACAGGCUUCAUGAUUAAGCCAAAUAUAUAUUGACUUAUAUAAAUCAAAUUA